CACCGAAGCUGCGGCAGCGACGUUUAUGCGUUGUUGGGUAGGGGAGCGUUCUGUAAGCCUGCGAAGGUGGCCUGUGAGGGUUGCUGGAGGUAUCAGAAGUGCGAAUGCUGACAUAAGUAACGAUAAAGCGGGUGAAAAGCCCGCUCGCCGGAAGACCAAGGGUUCCUGUCCAACGUUAAUCGGGGCAGGGUGAGUCGACCCCUAAGGCGAGGCCGAAAGGCGUAGUCGAUGGGAAACGGGUUAAUAUUCCCGUACUUGGUGUUACUGCGAAGGGGGGACGGAGAAGGCUAUGUUGGCCGGGCGACGGUUGUCCCGGUUUAAGCGUGUAGGUGUGUGUUCCAGGUAAAUCCGGUUCACUUUAACACUGAGGCGUGAUGACGAGGCACUACGGUGCUGAAGCAACAAAUGCCCUGCUUCCAGGAAAAGCCUCUAAGCAUCAGGUAACAUCAAAUCGUACCCCAAACCGACACAGGUGGUCAGGUAGAGAAUACCAAGGCGCUUGAGAGAACUCGGGUGAAGGAACUAGGCAAAAUGGUGCCGUAACUUCGGGAGAAGGCACGCUGACACGUAGGUGAAGUGAUUUACUCAUGGAGCUGAAGUCAGUCGAAGAUACCAGCUGGCUGCAACUGUUUAUUAAAAACACAGCACUGUGCAAACACGAAAGUGGACGUAUACGGUGUGACGCCUGCCCGGUGCCGGAAGGUUAAUUGAUGGGGUCAGCGCAAGCGAAGCUCCUGAUCGAAGCCCCGGUAAACGGCGGCCGUAACUAUAACGGUCCUAAGGUAGCGAAAUUCCUUGUCGGGUAAGUUCCGACCUGCACGAAUGGCGUAAUGAUGGCCAGGCUGUCUCCACCCGAGACUCAGUGAAAUUGAACUCGCUGUGAAGAUGCAGUGUACCCGCGGCAAGACGGAAAGACCCCGUGAACCUUUACUAUAGCUUGACACUGAACAUUGAGCCUUGAUGUGUAGGAUAGGUGGGAGGCUUUGAAGUGUGGACGCCAGUCUGCAUGGAGCCGACCUUGAAAUACCACCCUUUAAUGUUUGAUGUUCUAACGUGGACCCGUUACCCGGGUUGCGGACAGUGUCUGGUGGGUAGUUUGACUGGGGCGGUCUCCUCCUAAAGAGUAACGGAGGAGCACGAAGGUUGGCUAAUCCUGGUCGGACAUCAGGAGGUUAGUGCAAUGGCAUAAGCCAGCUUGACUGCGAGCGUGACGGCGCGAGCAGGUGCGAAAGCAGGUCAUAGUGAUCCGGUGGUUCUGAAUGGAAGGGCCAUCGCUCAACGGAUAAAAGGUACUCCGGGGAUAACAGGCUGAUACCGCCCAAGAGUUCAUAUCGACGGCGGUGUUUGGCACCUCGAUGUCGGCUCAUCACAUCCUGGGGCUGAAGUAGGUCCCAAGGGUAUGGCUGUUCGCCAUUUAAAGUGGUACGCGAGCUGGGUUUAGAACGUCGUGAGACAGUUCGGUCCCUAUCUGCCGUGGGCGCUGGAGAACUGAGGGGGGCUGCUCCUAGUACGAGAGGACCGGAGUGGACGCAUCACUGGUGUUCGGGUUGUCAUGCCAAUGGCACUGCCCGGUAGCUAAAUGCGGAAGAGAUAAGUGCUGAAAGCAUCUAAGCACGAAACUUGCCCCGAGAUGAGUUCUCCCUGAGACUUUAGGUCUCCUGAAGGAACGUUGAAGACGACGACGUUGAUAGGCCGGGUGUGUAAGCGCAGCGAUGCGUUGAGCUAACCGGUACUAAUGAACCGUGAGGCUUAACCUUACAACGCCGAAG
This 1769-nucleotide ribosomal RNA is filed under the name Salmonella enterica subsp. enterica serovar Bovismorbificans. RNAcentral describes it as "partial 23S ribosomal RNA". It matches the Rfam family "Bacterial large subunit ribosomal RNA", at positions 1192 to 2925 of the family's 2925-position model. The record is from RNAcentral. Lineage: Bacteria; Pseudomonadati; Pseudomonadota; Gammaproteobacteria; Enterobacterales; Enterobacteriaceae.